AACUCGCCAGUCUCAGUUAUUGUUCUUGCAAACAACAACUUCCAUGGGUGUGUGCCAGCCAGCCUUGGUAACAUGUCCAAGAAUUUGAACGAAGUGGUGCUCACAAACAACGGCUUCCACUCGUGCUUGCCAAAGGAAAUAGGGAUGCUGAAGGAUGUAACUGUGUUUGAUGUGAGCUAUAAUCGGAUUGUCGGUGAGUUGCCAGAGGCAGUGGGUGAAAUGGUGAGCUUGGAGAAGCUCAAUGUGGCUCAUAACAUGCUAAGAGGGAACAUACCUGAGAGCGUUUGUGAGCUUCAGAACCUGAGGAACUUUAGCUUUGAGCACAACUUCUUCACUAGUGAGCCACCAAUGUGUUUGAAAUUGGAGAAGUUUGAUGACAGCAAGAAUUGCUUGCGGCGUAGGCCAAAGCAGAGAACCAUGUUGC
RNAcentral lists this long non-coding RNA (424 nucleotides) under Prunus persica (peach). Its description in RNAcentral is "long non-coding RNA (PPER_LNC001492)". Lineage: Eukaryota; Viridiplantae; Streptophyta; Magnoliopsida; Rosales; Rosaceae. The record is from RNAcentral.